This 77-nucleotide transfer RNA is filed under the name Paracoccaceae bacterium. RNAcentral describes it as "Rhodobacteraceae bacterium tRNA-Phe". It matches the Rfam family "tRNA". From Rfam's summary of the family: Transfer RNA (tRNA) molecules are approximately 80 nucleotides in length. Their secondary structure includes four short double-helical elements and three loops (D, anti-codon, and T loops). Lineage: Bacteria; Pseudomonadati; Pseudomonadota; Alphaproteobacteria; Rhodobacterales; Paracoccaceae. The record is from RNAcentral.
GCUUAGAUAGCUCGAUUGGUUAGAGCGUAUCACUGAAAAUGAUAAGGUUGCAGGUUCAAGUCCUGUUCUGAGCACCA